This 567-nucleotide ribosomal RNA is filed under the name uncultured Actinomycetes bacterium. RNAcentral's name for it is "bacterial SSU rRNA". It matches the Rfam family "Bacterial small subunit ribosomal RNA", at positions 338 to 916 of the family's 1533-position model. Lineage: Bacteria; Bacillati; Actinomycetota; Actinomycetes. The record is from RNAcentral.
CCUACGGGAGGCAGCAGUAGGGAAUAUUGGGCAAUGGGCGCAAGCCUGACCCAGCGACGCCGCGUGAGGGAUGAAGGUCUUCGGAUUGUAAACCUCUUUCAGUAGGGAAGAAGCGAAAGUGACGGUACCUAAAGAAGAAGCACCGGCUAACUAUGUGCCAGCAGCCGCGGUAAUACAUAGGGUGCAAGCGUUGUCCGGAAUUAUUGGGCGUAAAGAGCUCGUAGGUGGUUCGAUACGUCGGAUGUGAAAAUCAGGGGCUCAACCCCUGACCUGCAUCCGAUACGGUCGAGCUAGAGUUUGGUAGGGGAGACUGGAAUUCCUGGUGUAGCGGUGGAAUGCGCAGAUAUCAGGAGGAACACCGAUGGCGAAGGCAGGUCUCUGGGCCAAUACUGACACUGAGGAGCGAAAGCGUGGGGAGCGAACAGGAUUAGAUACCCUGGUAGUCCACGCCGUAAACGGUGGGCGCUAGUUGUGCGAACCUUCCACGGUUUGUGCGACGCAGCUAACGCAUUAAGCGCCCCGCCUGGGGAGUACGAUCGCAAGAUUAAAACUCAAAGGAAUUGACGG